UGGGGAAUAUUGGACAAUGGGGGCAACCCUGAUCCAGCCAUGCCGCGUGUGUGAAGAAGGCCUUUUGGUUGUAAAGCACUUUAAGCAGUGAAGAAGACUCCAUGGUUAAUACCCAUGGACGAUGACAUUAGCUGCAGAAUAAGCACCGGCUAACUCUGUGCCAGCAGCCGCGGUAAUACAGAGGGUGCAAGCGUUAAUCGGAAUUACUGGGCGUAAAGCGAGCGUAGGUGGCUUGAUAAGACAGAUGUGAAAGCCCCGGGCUUAACCUGGGAACGGCAUCUGAUACUGUUAGGCUAGAGUAGGUGAGAGGAAGGUAGAAUUCCAGGUGUAGCGGUGAAAUGCGUAGAGAUCUGGAGGAAUACCGAUGGCGAAGGCAGCCUUCUGGCAUCAUACUGACACUGAGGUUCGAAAGCGUGGGUAGCAAACA
Molecule: ribosomal RNA, 427 nt
Filed under: uncultured bacterium
Lineage: Bacteria
Description: partial 16S ribosomal RNA
Rfam family: Bacterial small subunit ribosomal RNA
Source: RNAcentral